UCCCUUGGGUGACGCAGUGGCGGACGGGUGAGUAAUGUCUGGGAAACUGCCCGAUGGAGGGGGAUAACUACUGGAAACGGUAGCUAAUACCGCAUAAUGUCGCAAGACCAAAGAGGGGGACCUUCGGGCCUCUUGCCAUCGGAUGUGCCCAGAUGGGAUUAGCUAGUAGGUGGGGUAACGGCUCACCUAGGCGACGAUCCCUAGCUGGUCUGAGAGGAUGACCAGCCACACUGGAACUGAGACACGGUCCAGACUCCUACGGGAGGCAGCAGUGGGGAAUAUUGCACAAUGGGCGCAAGCCUGAUGCAGCCAUGCCGCGUGUAUGAAGAAGGCCUUCGGGUUGUAAAGUACUUUCAGCGAGGAGGAAGGUGUUUGAGGUUAAUAACCUCAGCAAUUGACGUUACUCGCAGAAGAAGCACCGGCUAACUCCGUGCCAGCAGCCCGCGGUAAUACGGAGGGUGCAAGCGUUAAUCGGAAUUACUGGGGCGUAAAGCGCACGCAGGCGGUCUGUCAAGUCGGAUG
This 522-nucleotide ribosomal RNA is filed under the name bacterium. Its description in RNAcentral is "bacterial SSU rRNA". It matches the Rfam family "Bacterial small subunit ribosomal RNA", at positions 79 to 594 of the family's 1533-position model. The record is from RNAcentral.